Molecule: long non-coding RNA, 595 nt
Organism: Lynx canadensis (Canada lynx)
Lineage: Eukaryota; Metazoa; Chordata; Mammalia; Carnivora; Felidae
Exons: 3
Source: RefSeq, a predicted model, not a curated record
GGAAGAAGGAAAUGGAUGCAGGGGAGGGAACCUACAACAUCCAUUACUUGCUCAAGACAUUAUUCUACGGAUGCCAGAAGGUAGAAAUAACUUUUUCAAGAGAUCUGGCCAUGAACAGGAGGAAGGAGUGCGUCGCAGGCAGGUGGGGUCUGCCUAAACACAGAUGAGAGAGUUUGGGCAGCUCGCUGGACCCAGAAGCAGCAGCCGGUCCUGAAGGAGAGGGCAGGAUGAGGAAUUCUGAUGAAUGCCUUUUCAAAGAGCACCCAGCCCUGAAGUCAAACACCCUGCACUUCACGUUCAUGGUGACGUUUAGCAUUGCCAUCCCAUUUGCUCAUGGCCUUGCUCAAUGGGGGCCCUUUCCUUAACAUUCAAGGACAUGGCCCCAAAGGGGCCACAGGGAACUCCCAGCCUUUCGUGGACAUCACAGAAAUGGCAACUACGCGCGGACUCACACUCGGGACCCGCAGUGCUGCUGGGUCAUGCCUACUUCUCUGUCUUGCUGCUUCGCUAGAAGUCCAGCAGCGUCCCUGUUGAAGCCACGACGACUGUGCUACAAGAAAGAGAACACGGAACGGCGAGGGGCAGAGAGGGAGAC